This is a non-coding RNA of Trichonephila clavipes, 72 nucleotides long. Lineage: Eukaryota; Metazoa; Arthropoda; Arachnida; Araneae; Nephilidae. The record is from the annotation of a GenBank genome assembly.
GUCCCUGUAGUGCAAUGACAGCGCAUUGGACUUCUAAUCCAAAGGUCGUGGGAUCGAGUUCUGCCUGGGAUG